CGACUCGCUCGCCGCCGCAGAGGGAAUCAGAUUCUCCUCGAGAAGCUUUAGUAUCCCUUCGCAGACGGAGGAGAGCUCCGUCUCCACCUUGGAUCUGUAGUCUUUCACGAGCGCCACGUGCUCCUCGUUCUUGCGGCUCUCCUCCUUCUGCUCGAUCGAGGACACGAUGCGCCACGCGGCGCGCAGGGAUCCGAUCACGUUCUUGUAUGCCACGGAGAGGAGGUUACGCUCUUCGACGGUGAGCUCGGAGGAUGGUGUGGCGCCUGUGACGAGCUUCUCCAUGAAGUUGACCAUCUCCUCGUAGCGCUCGGCCUGCUCGGCGAGCUUGGCCAUGUAGACGUACUGGUCUCUGCCUAGUGUUGCCGCCAUUGGAGAGAGAAAGUGAGAGAGAGAGAGAGAGAGAUUUUUUUUUUUUUUUCAUAAAGAUUAGUCGGAUGAAGACUUAACAUCUUUGUUAUGUUGACUUUUCUUAGUAGACAAUCCACAGACCAUGAUGUAACGUUAAAUUAGACAAAGUUAACCUUGAUUAGUUAAUUAGAGCUGUGAUUGGAUGGUGAAUAAAUAUAAUUGGAGAGAGAAUCCAAUUUUGUAAUAAUAUGAUUUCAAAGAUCAUUAAUGUUAUAUGACGUGACAAAUGUGUGAACAGCUAACAUGUCUAGUUCAAGAAUCAAGAAUUGCAAAUUUGCAUGUCUUCCUGUCUACUUAAUCCACUUGUUAUUUUUUUUUUUGUCAAACAAUCCACUUGUUAUUUUAAUUUUUUUAUAUAUACAACAACGACCUUUUUAUGUAACUUUGGCAUAGUAUAAGUUAUCUUAUUAUACAGCAACUAAAUAUUAUAAACAGUAACGAUGAUUAAUCCCAUGUGGCUGACCUGAUAAUUUGAUUAAGUUUUGUGAAUAUUAUUGGUGUUGUUACCGUUGUUGGACAUUGCUAAUAAACCCGUUGGAAAUAGCUGUCAGUGAAUAUAAAAUAAUGUUGAUAGACAUAAGGUAUGAAUAGAAAGAAAUAACGUAUAAAAAGAUACGUCGUCUGGUAAUAGCCUGUAAAGCCUAUCUCGACAGUGAUUCAGAAGGUAAGAUGUCCAUUUUAAUGUUUUUUUUCGAUUGAAUGUAUAUUAGUGAAUCAUUCAUAGUUGGCAAUGUAUUGCCAGUUGUGAUGAACGAACCUAAACAUUCAUUAUUUUUGUCUAGUGACUAAUAGGGCCAACUACUGAUCCACUUGUCUCGACUCAUGCAAUCGAAAUGGGUUAAACUGAAAUUCCAUUACGAUGGAUUUCGACUGAUCAACGUCAAAAAGGAAGAUCAGAAGCUAAAAAUAAUAAUUAAAAUGGGCUCAGCUGUAUGCCCAGCCAUUACGAUGAUACAAAAAAUGGGCUUCGUAUCGUUCCACCAUGCAUACAAUGCAGCCUAGUGGUCCAACUACAAUCUCGAUGUUUUACAUCUCCUUGUCCUUGUGCAACGAGAGAUUCCACUUCUUCGAUUCUUGCAUACGUGUGAGCACGUUUAUGGUUGCUCUAUGUUGAAGUAAAAUUUCAUUCACCACAAAACACAACCCCCAAGAAUUUUGGUUUCCCCUGAAUCAAGAUUCGAGUAUGACGAAAAAGAAGGUUUUAAGGCUUAAGCAAAAAGUCAAGAGAUGACAAAUCCUUAGAGAACAUAGUUUAAGACAAUAUUAAAUAGAGUAGAUCAUCAAUCAUCAUCAAGCUGUGCACAUAAAUCUUCAUAAACACUUAAAAAUACUUUUUGGUUCAACAGUUUUGAGCAAAGGUUAUGUGGGAUGAUGGCUCAUAACACACUCCCUUCCUCGAGAUCCUCACGCCUCGUCCAUCUGCUCCUGAACAAAUAAUAUCAACAACUCAGCACACACACAGUUUCUCAGCUGUUUCAAAUUUUUAGACCUGAUGAAUCUGAUCAAGCACGGUUGAAAAACUCUAAGAGACUACGUUGAACUUAGAGUGUAAAAUGGAAGGUGCGGAGAGGAGUAUAACCUGCAUAUCGGAGGUCCAGAGGGUGAGAUUGUCCCUGAGCAACUGCAUGAUGAGAGUGCUGUCUUUGUAGGACUCUUCUCCCAGAGUGUCAAGCUCAGCUAUGGCUUCUUCAAAAGCCUACACGCAAAUCCACCACGAAAAUAAGAUACCAACAGAUAACAAGUAAACACACAUCUAUCAAACAAACAAAAAAACUCUUCCAAAGACAAACUCAGGACAGUAACUUAUAUUUGAUUUUUAUUACAGAACCUGUUUGGCCAUGUCACAAGCCUUGUCGGAAGAAUUAAGAAUCUCAUAGUAAAACACGGAGAAAUUCAACGCCAAACCAAGCCUAAUCGGAUGAGUAGGCGCCAUAUCAGCAGCUGCAAUAUCCUAAUCACCCAAAACAUUUCACAAAACAAAACCAAUCAGUCUUGUAAUAAAACCCCGAGAUUAAUUAAUUAAUUAAAAAAUAAAAUAAAUAAUAAUUUUUACUAAUAUAUAACCUGAGCAGCCUUGUAAGCAACCAUGGUAUCCUCAGCCGCGGCUUUCCUCUCCUCGCCGGCCUUAAACUCCGCCAUGUACCUAUGGUAAUCCCCUUUCAUCUUCAGAUAAAACACCUUCGACUCGCUCGCCGCCGCAGAGGGAAUCAGAUUCUCCUCGAGAAGCUUUAGUAUCCCUUCGCAGACGGAGGAGAGCUCCGUCUCCACCUUGGAUCUGUAGUCUUUCACGAGCGCCACGUGCUCCUCGUUCUUGCGGCUCUCCUCCUUCUGCUCGAUCGAGGACACGAUGCGCCACGCGGCGCGCAGGGAUCCGAUCACGUUCUUGUAUGCCACGGAGAGGAGGUUACGCUCUUCGACGGUGAGCUCGGAGGAUGGUGUGGCGCCUGUGACGAGCUUCUCCAUGAAGUUGACCAUCUCCUCGUAGCGCUCGGCCUGCUCGGCGAGCUUGGCCAUGUAGACGUACUGGUCUCUGCCUAGUGUCGCCGCCAUUGG
Molecule: long non-coding RNA, 2961 nt
Filed under: Brassica napus (rape)
Lineage: Eukaryota; Viridiplantae; Streptophyta; Magnoliopsida; Brassicales; Brassicaceae
Description: long non-coding RNA (BNAP_LNC020322)
Source: RNAcentral